CAUGGGGAUUUGGGGCGAGGAAGAUUGGGGUGCGAUUCGGGGGGAUCAUGCCUCGGAUUCUUGGGGUCGUCGGGGAUGCGGUGAUUGAAGGAGAAGACGGUGGAGAUAGAGAGGGAGGGGGAGGCUUCGGAUUUCAAAAAUAGACUUGGCUCGUUCGAUACUGCCAAUUCUUUUGGUGCUGAUUUUGAGUUGUUAAGAACCCUUGAUUGAUGCAAAUCUUAAUUUUGUUUUAUGUGGAGCACCAGUGUUGGGGAUAUCUUGUUAAACAUCCAGUUCCCCUGACAUGCAUGAACUGUUCAGUAUAGGAUUCCCAUCUUAUGCAGCUAUGUUUGCUCUAUUUACAUUGUUUUCUAUCAUGUGUUAUGUUUGCAACAUUUCCCUAUGCUUUGAUUGAUAAUAUGUAUUUUGAUGUUUUUGCCUAAUUUGUGUUUACCUUUGUUUCAUAGGAACUUGUCAAAUCUUGGUCUGAAGGGAAUGUUAUCUCCUGAGAUUGGACAGCUUACUAAUAUGCAUUUUCUUGUACUGCACAGGAACUUGUUCUAUGGUAUUAUCCCUAGAGAGAUGGGAGAUUUACGAGAGCUGAAGGUGCAGGAUCUGGGGUACAAUAACUUCAAUGGAUCAAUUCCAUCAGAGCUAAUAAACAUUUUAUCCCUGGAAUUUAUCUUUCUUAAAAGAAACAGACUUUAUGGUGAUUUACCUCUUGAACUAAAUGAGCUCAUCAGUCUGUGUGAGUCUCAGGUUCGCCACAGCAGGACUUUCUCAAAUAGGAUGCCUGCUGCAAGGUUUGUCUAAGUUUUCUUCUACUUGCAUAUCUGAGAGUUAAACUCGUGAUUAUGCAAGGCUUGAGUUAAAUUUUCAAAUCAAACAGGGAUUUGAGCAAGCUUGAUUUUGGUUAAAAAAUCCCACCCUGUUCCUGCAAUCACAUGUAUGUUAAUGAUAUCUGAAAUAUUUGAGAAUUAUCUGUUUCGACUCAAGAAAUAUCAGACUUCUUUUAGGAACAUGUCCUCCACAAAAUGGUAAAUUAUAUCCGAGUCGGCAUCCCUGAAACCCAGCCCAAAUCCACAUAUAACCUCACUCUGGACGAACCCUAGACCCAAAUCUCUAGACAAUGCCAUGUUGAAAGAUAGGCUUGCGAAGAUUCGGCUCAAGAAUUCCUGAGGGUACUUCUGUCUUUAUCAUAUUUGUUCUCACACCUUGGCCGUUGUGUUUUCCCGCCGCAACGCACGCGUCGACCCGCAAUGUUGUAUCUCGGAAGGACACCUUUCGGUAUUUGGGGUCAAUGUUGCAGGAGGAUGGGGGUAUUGAUGAAGAUGUGAACCAUCGAAUCAAAGCCGGAUGGACGAAGUGGCGCCAAGCUUCUGGCAUUCUCUGUGACAAGAGAGUGCCACAAAAGCUAAAAGGCAAGUUCUACAGGACGGCGGUUCGACCCGCAAUGUUGUAUGGCGCGGAGUGUUGACCGACUAAAAGGCGACAUGUUCAACAGUUAGGUGUGGCGGAGAUGCGUAUGUUGAGAUGGAUGUGUGGCCACACGAGGAAGGAUCGACUCCGGAAUGAUGAUAUACGAGAUAGAGUUGGGGUAGCACCAAUUGAGGAGAAGCUUGUCCAACAUCGUUUGAGAUGGUUUGGGCAUAUUCAGCGCAGGCCUCCAGAAGCUCCAGUGCAUAGCGGACGGCUAAAGCGUGCGGAGAAUGUCAAGAGAGGGCGGGGUCGACCGAUUUUGACAUGGGAGGAGUCCGUUAAGAGAGACCUGAAGGAUUGGAGUAUCGACAAAGAGCUAGCUAUGGACAGGGGUGCGUGGAAGCUUGCUAUCCAUGUGCCAGAGCCAUGAGUUGGUUGCGAGAUCUUAUGGGUUUCACCUCUAGCCUACCCCAACUUGUUUGGGACUAAAGGCUUUGUUGUUGUUGUUUUGUAACGCACGCGUCGACCCGCAGUCCUCAUAUGAAGUGAACCAGAAGCGGUACAUGCGAGAGAAAAGAAAAACAAACCCAACCACCUGCACGACCCUUCCUCUUGAUCCCAUCUGGACCUUUAGUAUUCUCGGGAUUUAUCUGAUUAUGAUGAUGUUCCAUACUGCUCUGGAGCCGACAACUUUUUGGACUGCUCGAUGUCUAUAACCAAUGAGACUACUUUUUUGGUUGUUGGCUGGAGGCUGGAGCUAUCACUGUGACUGAAAUUUUCUUUUCACCAAAGUAAAAUUAUAUGGUCAUCAAAACCAACGACAUGUUAACACUUGUCAGCAGUUUGCAAUUUGUAUUGCAGUAUGCGUAAGCCAAUGGUCAGACAUUGUUGUUUUAGUCAGGAAAUGUAGAAAACGUGUUCAUGAUUUAUGUAGAUUGGACAGUCCCUUCAAACUGCAGUAUUCGAUCUUGAGCGGACAAUCUAACUAUAUGUUUCCUUAUAGAAAAUUGACUAGAUGUUCCAUGAAUUGACUGAUUAGUUUGGCCCGAUCAGAUUAAACUAGGUCUUGAUUUGAAGGUCCAGUUAGGGCAGCUGGUGCUGGUUUGUUUGUUGUAAUACUAACUAUGCUACUUAGACAGAGACAUGUGGUCUUUCUCAUUCCUCGACAUUUUCCUUUGCUACCAAGAUUUUUCAUUCUAGGUUGUGGAAAAACGGAUGUAGCAUUCCUUCUACAAGUUGUCAUGAGUUGGGACAUCGAAGAAGAGAGCCGACGAGAAGUUGCACAGCUGUUUGCUCCGGUGUCGCUUCCAAUGGCGUUGCGCAAAGUGCAGAUUGCAGGCUAGAUGCGUAUGAGUCCAUCCCUACGUCCACGGUGUCGAAGCAUAGGAAAUCAAGUCAAUUAGAUAGUAUAUCUGGUUAUGAAAGUGUCUUUUGUGUACGCAGUUUUGCCAUUAUUUUGUAAAAGCUUUGAGUUUUUGAUAAUGUAAUUGUCUUACUAAUAACACUUUUAAUCAAUUCGUACCAAGGCUAAUAGCCAAGUUAUGCACAAAUUGUUCAUGUUUUCUUGAUGACUGCUAUUGUCAGAAGAUUUUUUUCAGCAUUUAAGUAAUACCGAUCCCACUUUCAGUUAUGUAUAUGCAAAGGCCAGUAGCAAGGAAAUGACUGCUCCUUGCUGGUCAGAUAUUUCCUAUUUCCAGGCUUUACUCAUUCUACUUUUCGCACCAUGCUGAUUUGUGAAUGAGAACCUACAUGAUCAUCCAC
Molecule: ribosomal RNA, 3159 nt
Filed under: Triticum aestivum (bread wheat)
Lineage: Eukaryota; Viridiplantae; Streptophyta; Magnoliopsida; Poales; Poaceae
Description: partial small subunit ribosomal RNA
Source: RNAcentral